RNAcentral lists this ribosomal RNA (400 nucleotides) under uncultured bacterium. RNAcentral's name for it is "bacterial SSU rRNA". It matches the Rfam family "Bacterial small subunit ribosomal RNA", at positions 28 to 433 of the family's 1533-position model. The record is from RNAcentral.
GACGAACGCUUGCGACGUGCCUAAGAAAUGCAAGUCGAACGGAUCAGCAGCAAUGCUGGUUAGUGGCGAACGGUCGCGUAACACGUGGGCAACCUGCCCUGAAGCGGGGGACAACAACUCGAAAGAGUUGCUAAUACCGCAUGUGUAUCGGGAUGGCAUCAUCCAGGAUACAAAGCCGCAAGGCACUUCAGGAUGGGCCCGCGGCCUAUCAGCUAGUGGUGAGGUAACGGCCCACCAAGGCUUCGACGGGUAGCUGGCCUGAGAGGACGAUCAGCCGGAUUGGGACUGAGAUACGGCCCAGACUCCUACGGGGGGCAGCAAUUAGGAAUCUUGCACAAUGGGCGAAAGCCUGAUGCAGCGACGUCGCGUGAGGGAUGAAGUCUUUCGGGACGUAAACCUC